GAUGAAGAACGUAGCGAAAUGCGAUAAGUAAUGUGAAUUGCAGAAUUCAGUGAAUCAUCGAAUCUUUGAACGCACCUUGCACCCUUUGGACUGCUCCAAAGGGUAUGCUCGUUUGAGUGUCAUUGUACUCUCACACUCUCUGAUCCUUUGGAUUUGGGGAGCAGUGGACUUGGGUGCUUGCUGCUUCCUUGUGGCUCACCUGAAAUGCAUCAGUGCAUCUCUCGAUUGGACAUAGUACGGCGUGAUAAGUGUCUUCGCCGGCACCUCAUAUGAGGGUGGCCGAUCGGGAGCUCUGUGCUUUCAAACCGUCCUCGGACAACGCUGACAACUUGACCUCAAAUCGAGUAGGACUACCCGCUGAACUUAAGCAUAUCAAUAAGCGGAGGA
Molecule: unclassified non-coding RNA, 387 nt
Filed under: soil metagenome
Description: partial contains 5.8S ribosomal RNA, internal transcribed spacer 2, and large subunit ribosomal RNA
Rfam family: 5.8S ribosomal RNA (bases 1-122)
Source: RNAcentral